Molecule: ribosomal RNA, 1430 nt
Filed under: uncultured bacterium
Lineage: Bacteria
Description: 16S ribosomal RNA
Rfam family: Bacterial small subunit ribosomal RNA
Source: RNAcentral
AGGAUGAACGCUGGCGGCGUGCCUUAAGCAUGCAAAUCAAGGGGAGAUGUACCGCAAGGUACAUCUAACCGGUGGACGGGUGAGUAACGCGUGGGAAUCUACCUUAAAGUUGGACAUAGCUCGGCGAAAGUCGGGGUAAUUUCCAAUGUAGACGUAAGUCCAAAGCAGCAAUGCGCUUUAAGAUGAACCUGCGUCCUAUCAGCUAGUUGGUGGGGUAAUGGCCUACCAAGGCAUCGACGGGUAGCUGGACUGAGAGGUCGGUCAGCCACAAUAGCACUGCGACACGGGCUAUACACCUACGGGUGGCAGCAACUAGGAAUAUUCGGCAAUGGGCGAAAGCCUGACCGAGCGACGCCGCGUGGAGGAUUGAAGGCCUUCGGGUUGUAAACUCCUUUUGUAAGGGAAGAUUAUGACGGUACCUUACGAAUAAGCACCUGCUAACUACGUGCCAGAAGCCUCGGUAAUACGUAGGGUGCAAGCGUUAUCCGGAUUUAUUGGGCGUAAAGUAUUGCGUAGGCGUCCCGCAGCAUCUCAUUUGAAAUACCUUGACUCAAUCAGGGUCUUGGAUGAGAGAUGUGCGGGAUAGAUGGUAUGAGAGGGUGCUGGAACCGACGGUGUAGCAGUGAAAUGCGUUGAUAUCGUCGGGAACACCAAAGGCGUAGGCAGGCACCUGGAAUACACAUGACGCUGAGGCAUGAAAGCUAGGGGAGCGAAGCAGAUUAGAGACCUGCGUAGUCCUAGCCGUAAACUAUGUCUGCUAGAUAUCCCGAUUUAAUCGGGGCGUCGUAGCUAACGCGCUAAGCAGACCGCCUUGGGAGUACGAGCGCAAGCUUAAAACUCAAAGGAAUUGACGGGGACCCGCACAAGCAGUGGAGCGUGUGGUUUAAUUCGAUACAAAGCGAAAAACCUCACCAGGGCUUGACAUCCCGACGUUCUAUUUCCUGGAAACAGGAGAAAUCCGUAAGGAGGUCGGGACAGAUACUGCAUGGCUGUCGUAAGCUCGUGGCGUGAGCUGUACCCUUAAGUGGGGUAACGAGCGCAACCCGCACCGUAUGUUAAAUAAUUCAUGCGGAACAGUCCCGAUUUAAUCGGGAAGGAAGGCGCGGAUGACGUCAAGUCAGCACGGUUCUUACGCCCUGGGCUACACACACCCUACAAUGGUGAAAAACAACGAGUUGCAAGCCGGUAACGGUAAGCUAAUCUCUUAAAUUUCACCUCAGUUCAGAUCGGGGUCUGCAACCUGACCCCGUGAAGUCGGAAUUGCUAGUAAUCGCGGAUCAGCGUGCCGCGGUGAAUACGUUCUCGGGUCUUGUACACACCGCCCGUCAAGGCAGGAAAGUUGGGGGCACCUGAACCCCGAUUUAUCGGGGGAGGGUGAAACCAGCGAUCAGGCUUAAGUCGUAACAAGGUAUCCCUAGCCGAAGCUGGGG